RNAcentral lists this ribosomal RNA (253 nucleotides) under uncultured bacterium. RNAcentral describes it as "partial 16S ribosomal RNA". It matches the Rfam family "Bacterial small subunit ribosomal RNA", at positions 524 to 776 of the family's 1533-position model. The record is from RNAcentral.
UACGAAGGGGGCUAGCGUUGCUCGGAAUCACUGGGCGUAAAGCGCACGUAGGCGGCUUUUUAAGUCAGGGGUGAAAUCCUGGAGCUCAACUCCAGAACUGCCUUUGAUACUGAGAAGCUUGAGUCCGGGAGAGGUGAGUGGAACUGCGAGUGUAGAGGUGAAAUUCGUAGAUAUUCGCAAGAACACCAGUGGCGAAGGCGGCUCACUGGGCCGAUACUGACGCUGAGGAGCGAAAGCGUGGGGAGCGAACAGG